Long non-coding RNA from Peromyscus maniculatus bairdii (prairie deer mouse), 1958 nucleotides. RefSeq lists it as uncharacterized. Lineage: Eukaryota; Metazoa; Chordata; Mammalia; Rodentia; Cricetidae. The record is from RefSeq and is a predicted model, not a curated record.
GAUGCUGGAAGGAUCUGACAGACAGCUUAGCCCAAGACCAGGUUACACGGAACACAUGAUUAUAGACCAUGCUGUUGUUAUUGUCAACUCAGGACAUAAAGCCAGCUACAUAGGUCCCUUAUUCUCUCGCAUCGAUCUGCUCUGUCCCUGGAGAUGACGUGUAGGAGCCAUGUCCACUGAGCCCCUUCACCUUCUGGGUUCACACCGAGCUCCUCCCACCGUGGGCCUACCAGGAAACAGAAGAGCAGGCCAAGGUCAGGAGCUUCGGCCUGUGGCAGGUGAGGGGACAGCAGACUGUCCUGUUCCUGAAGAUCACGGCGGCAUUGCAGCCAUCCUUCCAUCGGCUACAGCUGUCUCUGGGUGCCCGCCACCCCUGCCUCCCUCACACUGAAGUGGUCAGAGCUCGCUGUGGUCGCUAUUCACCUUCUGCUCUAAGGAGAUCACGGAGCGUGGCAGCUACGUCCUCCUGUCCCAUCCCCUGAAGGGUGUGGACGAAAGUUAAGAGCUCUAAAAGUGACUCAACAGUUCAACCUCUACAGUUUCCAGCCCAACUUUCCAGAAACUCCCUUUCCUGAUGAAUCAGAUCAUCACUGGACAGACAUCGAGUCCCUUCUCACAUUAUCUCCAUCGCCAUUCCCACUUCCUAGUUCCCAAGGCUGAGAUUAUAGGCGUGUAUAUUCAUGUCUGCUUCAUACGGUGCUGGAGGACGGAGCCCGAGGCUUCAUGCAUGCUAUGCCAGUGGUCUACCAAACUGCCGUGUUUUUACUAUUCAGUACAACGCUUUCUGCUUUUAUAGAAACAUAAAGGUUUAGUUAUAGAAAGACCAAGGCUUUUAGUAUUGUCCUACUAUCAUUCUUCACCAUGGAAAUAGCAAAUCAGUGUACCUUUGAAUUGUAUGGUGUUAGAAUGUUUGACUUUUAAAAAUUGAUAACAGAAAAUUGAGUUACCUCAACAGGUUUUCUGCAAUGGAAUAAUAGGUUUCUCUGCCAGCGCAGUAAGUCAGAUCAAGCCAAAUUGAAAAAGUGAAAGAAAAGGUUUAUUUGAGCAAAGGAACUCCUGGAUGAGUCCGCCAGACCUAGAGACUGGGGCCAGAGAAGUCAGUCACUCUAACUAAAGCUUAUAUACUUAUAUAACUUAUAUACCCUGUAGGCGAGGGGUGAUGAUGUGUCCUCCAGAAGCUGGGCUUGUGCCUACAAUGGUCAAAAGCUGACCGCUUUAGGCAGAGUCUUGGGCUCCUGCCUCAGAGGAGGAGCUGCUGCAGCCGCCAAGAAUGCAGAAUCAGCCUUUUUGGUGCCCUUUCUUCAUUGGAGAAUCUCUGAGAGGGCGGGGUUUGGAGAGAGAGCAAUGGAGCUUUCUGGAUCAAGCAGGAGUGAGCUGGAGGCUCCAGCCGAUCAUUACUGACUUGAUUUUGUUGUUGCUUUGAGUGCUGGGGACCAAAACCAGGGCCUUGUGUUUGAUAGGCAAGCACACUAAAUCCCCAACUUUUGAGAAAAAGUUACUAUUAGGUGAAUUUUGGCUCAGGAUUAAGACAAAAUUUUCAAUAACUUCUGAAAUGGCCCUAAACAUGCUUUUGCUAUUUUGUGGUAUUUACAGAAAGAAACAAAAUCAAAAUCAACACUGACAACUUAAAGCAAUCAAAAUGUUGGGUCUGGAGAGAUGUGCUCAGAGGUUAAGAGCACUUACUGCGCCUCUAGAGGACUUGAGUUCAGAUCCAGCACCCACAUCAGGCAGCUUACAGCUGCCUGUGACUUCAGUUCAAGGGGAUCUGGCACCCCUGACCUCUGUGGACUGCAUACACAUAGCAGACACACACAGAGACACAUAAAUACAAAUGAAAAUAACAUAAAAAUCAAAAUAUUGAUCACCUGAAUAAAGUCGAGGAUGUUUUAUGUCUUAGAGUAUCAUAUAUUCAUCUAAGAUCUAAUUCUGUAUCUAAAAGUAAUCACAACCAUCUCAGA